RNAcentral lists this ribosomal RNA (545 nucleotides) under uncultured bacterium. RNAcentral's name for it is "partial 16S ribosomal RNA". It matches the Rfam family "Bacterial small subunit ribosomal RNA", at positions 355 to 895 of the family's 1533-position model. The record is from RNAcentral.
UGGGGAAUUUUGGACAAUGGGCGAAAGCCUGAUCCAGCAAUGCCGCGUGUGUGAAGAAGGCCUUCGGGUUGUAAAGCACUUUUGUCCGGAAAGAAAUCCUUGGCUCUAAUACAGUCGGGGGAUGACGGUACCGGAAGAAUAAGCACCGGCUAACUACGUGCCAGCAGCCGCGGUAAUACGUAGGGUGCAAGCGUUAAUCGGAAUUACUGGGCGUAAAGCGUGCGCAGGCGGUUUGCUAAGACCGAUGUGAAAUCCCCGGGCUCAACCUGGGAACUGCAUUGGUGACUGGCAGGCUAGAGUAUGGCAGAGGGGGUAGAAUUCCACGUGUAGCAGUGAAAUGCGUAGAGAUGUGGAGGAAUACCGAUGGCGAAGGCAGCCCCUGGGCCAAUACUGACGCUCAUGCACGAAAGCGUGGGGAGCAAACAGGAUUAGAUACCCUGGUAGUCCACGCCCUAAACGAUGUCAACUAGUUGUUGGGGAUUCAUUUCCUUAGUAACGUAGCUAACGCGUGAAGUUGACCGCCUGGGGAGUACGGUCGCAAGAUU